CAAGUCGAACGAGAAAGUGGAGCAAUCCAUGAGUAAAGUGGCGUACGGGUGAGUAACACGUGGAUCAUCUACCUUUUAGUGGGGAAUAACCCUGGGAAACCGGGGAUAAUACCGCAUAAGCCCGAGAGGGGAAAGCAGCAAUGCGCUGAAAGAGGAGUCCGCGGCCGAUUAGCUAGUUGGCAGGGUAAAAGCCUACCAAGGCAGAGAUCGGUAGCCGGCCUGAGAGGGCACACGGCCACACUGGCACUGAAACACGGGCCAGACUCCUACGGGAGGCAGCAGUGGGGAAUCUUGCACAAUGGGGGAAACCCUGAUGCAGCGACGCCGCGUGAGCGAUGAAGCCCUUCGGGGUGUAAAGCUCUUUCGGCAGGGAAGAUUAUGACGGUACCUGCAGAAGCAGCUGCGGCUAACUACGUGCCAGCAGCCGCGGUAAUACGUAGGCAGCAAGCGUUGUUCGGAGUUACUGGGCGUAAAGGGUGUGUAGGCGGUUGUUUAAGUUUGGUGUGAAAUCUCCCGGCUCAACUGGGAGGGUGCGCCGAAUACUGAAUGACUUCGAGUGCGGGAGAGGAGAGUGGAAUUCCUGGUGUAGCGGUGAAAUGCGUAGAUAUCAGGAGGAACACCGGUGGUGUAGACGGCUCUCUGGACCGUAACUGACGCUGAGACACGAAAGCGUGGGUAGCAAACAGGAUUAGAUACCCUGGUAGUCCACGCCCUAAACGAUGCACAUUUGGUGUGGGCAGUUCAUUCUGUCCGUGCCGGAGCUAACGCGUUAAAUGUGCCGCCUGGGGAGUACAGUCGCAAGGCUGAAACUCAAAGGAAUUGACGGGGGCCCGCACAAGCGGUGGAGCAUGUGGUUCAAUUCGACGCAACGCGAAGAACCUUACCUGGGCUCGAACGGCUGGUCAACGGUGGUGGGAACACUGCUACCCCGCA
Molecule: ribosomal RNA, 933 nt
Filed under: uncultured Bacillota bacterium
Lineage: Bacteria; Bacillati; Bacillota
Description: bacterial SSU rRNA
Rfam family: Bacterial small subunit ribosomal RNA
Source: RNAcentral